AUUAAUUAUUAUGUUUAUCUUUUUACUGAAUUUUAGUUUAUGUGUUAAGUAUGUUAUAUAAGUUUUAUGGCCGAUUAUAAGUUUGAUCCUUGCUUGUGUUUUAGUUUAUCUUAAGGUACAUGAAAAUUUAAGUUUAGUUGUAGAUAUUAAUUACCCUGAGUGGUUUAAUUAGGUAAAUUCUCAGUACAUAGGAUUAGGUUAUAUAAAGUGAUCUUUGAGCUAGUAGUCGAAUAUAAGUUCAGGCUAAAAUUGUGCCAGCAGCCGCGGUUAUACUGAUAGAGCAAUUAAAAGUGUAUCGGGGUUGGAGUAUUGACGUUUUAUUAUGAAUUUAUCUUAUUAAUUUAAAUGGUGAAGUUUGUUAUGUUAAAGUAAGUUUAGUUCAAUUUGAGGGUUUUGAUCUUUGAAAUUUAAGGUAUAAAACAGGAUUAGAUACCCUGUUAUACUUAGAUGAAACUAUUAGGACCUUUGAGUAGUAAAUAGGUAUAGGCUUUAAACUCAAAGGAUUUGGCGGUAUUCGAGUCUGGUUAGAGGAAUUUGUACGGUAAACGAUAGUCCGCGAGUAUCUGGCCUUGUCUUGUAAUAGUCAGUUUGUAUACCGCCAUUAUUAGGUAAUUUUUAGAGAAAGUUGCUAUAAUCAAGAUUAGUUGAAUAUAUUAGGUCAAGGUGCAGCUCAUGAUAAGGACGUUAUGAAUUACAUUGGUAUAAGUAGUAUAUGGAUAAGUGGCGGUAGAGUUGUUUUGAAGGUGGAUUUAAUUGUAAUAUGUGUAGAUGGUGCAUGUCUGGUAGGAGCUCUUGAAUAUGUACACAUCGCCCGUCGUUCUUGCUUUAAGGUGAGGUAAGUCGUAACAUAGUAGGUGUGUUGGAAAGGGGACCUAGAAUUAA
RNAcentral lists this non-coding RNA (882 nucleotides) under Alpheus japonicus. Lineage: Eukaryota; Metazoa; Arthropoda; Malacostraca; Decapoda; Alpheidae. RNAcentral also lists the same sequence under 1 other name. The record is from RNAcentral.